AGUGAACGCUGGCGGUAGGCCUAACACAUGCAAGUCGAACGGCAGCACAGUAAGAGCUUGCUCUUACGGGUGGCGAGUGGCGGACGGGUGAGGAAUACAUCGGAAUCUACUUUUUCGUGGGGGAUAACGUAGGGAAACUUACGCUAAUACCGCAUACGACCUACGGGUGAAAGCAGGGGAUCUUCGGACCUUGCGCGAUUGAAUGAGCCGAUGUCGGAUUAGCUAGUUGGCGGGGUAAAGGCUCACCAAGGCGACGAUCCGUAGCUGGUCUGAGAGGAUGAUCAGCCACACUGGAACUGAGACACGGUCCAGACUCCUACGGGAGGCAGCAGUGGGGAAUAUUGGACAAUGGGCGCAAGCCUGAUCCAGCCAUACCGCGUGGGUGAAGAAGGCCUUCGGGUUGUAAAGCCCUUUCGUUGGGAAAGAAAAGCAGCAGGUUAAUACCCCGCUGUUCUGACGGUACCCAAAGAAUAAGCACCGGCUAACUUCGUG
Molecule: ribosomal RNA, 492 nt
Filed under: uncultured bacterium
Lineage: Bacteria
Description: partial 16S ribosomal RNA
Rfam family: Bacterial small subunit ribosomal RNA
Source: RNAcentral